AAAGCGUGCGCAGGCGGUUAUGUAAGACAGAUGUGAAAUCCCCGGGCUCAACCUGGGAACUGCAUUUGUGACUGCAUGGCUAGAGUACGGUAGAGGGGGAUGGAAUUCCGCGUGUAGCAGUGAAAUGCGUAGAUAUGCGGAGGAACACCGAUGGCGAAGGCAAUCCCCUGGACCUGUACUGACGCUCAUGCACGAAAGCUGGGGAGCAAACAGGAUUAGAUACCCCCGGU
Molecule: ribosomal RNA, 230 nt
Filed under: uncultured bacterium
Lineage: Bacteria
Description: partial 16S ribosomal RNA
Rfam family: Bacterial small subunit ribosomal RNA
Source: RNAcentral